UCUCCCGUGCAGGGUUGCCAUAUCAACAGGUUCUCUGUGAGUCUCUCGCUGCAGAUGCAGCAUUCUGGGAUGCUGUGAUGCGAGCUUGAACACUCCCAGCUUCUGCAGCCCUGCAUCCCUUCAAGUGCCCUCACUCUCUGCUUCCUGGGGCCUCUGCCACACGUCCCUGGGUGCAUUUUGCUUUUCCCAGUGCUGCCAGUUUGCAGCCUGCUGCCAGCAUCCCUGCCUGCAUCCAUCCCUGUGGAGCAAAGGCCCCUGGUCAUGCUUGAGCAGCUGCAGCUGAUGCUGAGGGGACGGGAGGGACACCGAGCCCACAGACAGGAAAUCAGCAGCCCUGGGAGCGUGUCCUGUCAGCAGCCCAGGAGCUGGGAGAAGCUGGAUGCUGCUGCUGCUGCUGCUGCUGAGCUCAGGCCGUGCCCCAAGCACCAGCAGUGAGUGCUGCAGCUCAGCCCAGCAGCGCUGCCAUGACCUGCCUGCCACACUGCACCUCCCACGUGCAACAGCCUCAAACCCUCCUAGAGCUCCACGGUGUCUCUCCAAGUGCUGCUUCUUCUCCCCGACGCCCCACAGAUAUGUUAAGUGACACAGGGCCACGGCAGAGCCUGCAAGCCCCUGCAGCUGCCCUGUGCUGGGAUGACAGCUGCCCGGCUUUUCCUCCUCUGUUUUCUCUCUCUUGGUGAGCCUUUGAUCCAUGGCAAUACUUUGCCUCUCGCACCAUGACAAUUUAAUUUCUAUAGUAACCUCCUGCGCUGGAUCUUGUCAAAAGGCUUUUUGAAAAUCUGAAUAAACUAUCGAGUGGUU
Molecule: non-coding RNA, 801 nt
Organism: Taeniopygia guttata (zebra finch)
Lineage: Eukaryota; Metazoa; Chordata; Aves; Passeriformes; Estrildidae
Source: RefSeq, a predicted model, not a curated record